Long non-coding RNA from Mastomys coucha (southern multimammate mouse), 573 nucleotides. RefSeq lists it as uncharacterized. The transcript has 6 exons. The record is from RefSeq and is a predicted model, not a curated record. Lineage: Eukaryota; Metazoa; Chordata; Mammalia; Rodentia; Muridae.
AGGCUUAUACGGCAAGGUGCUCUUAGCAGCUGAGACAACUGCUGGCUCAGUGACCUAGCAGAUCCUGGAUUUCACAGUAUGGAUUGUGAAUUCAUUCUGAAAGUUCUGUGACAUAGUGUUGCUAUGGUUAUGUGAUCAUAUUAUGAGGCUUCGGUUCUGAAUUUCAGUGUGAUGUGAGACUUCUCAACAUACACUUGGGAUAGUGCAGAAUUGUAUAUUUUGGUUUGAUAGAGACUUCACAAUGGGAAGCAGAUGCUCUUGUAAAGUUCUUCCAACUGACCUCCAGAAAAAGGCCUCAGAAGGUGAGGAGGCAAAGUCACCUGAGGUGGCACCAAGGAAGAAAAGAACUUCUCUGAUGAGAAGACUAAAUUUUAAGAAAAAAAUGCUGUGACACAGUGCUAUAGUUUCAGUAGAACAUCAAAAUGAAGAAAUCUGCAGCACUUUUUUGAAGACCAAAUGAAGACCUUACAAGAAGAGGAGGCAGAGCCACCACUCAUUAAGGUCCAGUUGGAAAAAGAAUGAAGAUCCUGUUUGUAUUCUGUAAUGAUUCCUAUAAUAUAUUUUAUAUAAGAA